Molecule: ribosomal RNA, 500 nt
Filed under: uncultured bacterium
Lineage: Bacteria
Description: bacterial SSU rRNA
Rfam family: Bacterial small subunit ribosomal RNA
Source: RNAcentral
GAUGAACUCUGGCGGCGUGCCUAACACUUGCAAGUCGAAUGAGGGUGCCGCAAUGUGCCCUUAGUGGCGAACGGGUCAGUAACACUUAGGUAACCUGCCCUGAAGCGGGGGAUAACUGUGGGAAACUGCAGCUAAUACCGCAUGAUUUGCUUUGAGCGGGAGCGAAGAGCAAGAAAACUGACGUGCUUCAUGAGGGGCCUGCGGUCAAUUAGCUAGUUGGCGGGGUAAAGGCCCACCAAGGGGAUGAUCCAUAGCUGUUCUGAAAGGAAUACCACCCACACGGGAACUGAUACACGGUCCCGACUCCUACGGGGGGCAGCACUGAGGAAUAUUGCACAAUGGGGGAAACCCUGAUGCAGCAACGCCGCGUGAAGGAUGAAGGUCUUCGGAUUGUAAACUUCUUUUCUGCGGGAAGAGCAAGGACGGUACCGCACGAAUAAGACACGGCUAACUACGUGCCACCAGCCGCGGUAAUACAUACGUGUCAAGCGUUAUCCGGA